CAACCCUCAGGCCCUGGUUGCCUGGUGUUGGGGCGCCGCGCACCCCUAGCGGGCGCGGGCCCCGAAAGUCAGUGGCGGGCUCGCCAGGACUCCGAGCGCAGUAAUCUUUUUCUCGCUCAGGGCGUCCCGGUGGGUUACCCAGCCGUAAAACACCCAAAACUUCUAAA
Molecule: unclassified non-coding RNA, 167 nt
Filed under: uncultured Sordariomycetes
Lineage: Eukaryota; Fungi; Ascomycota; Sordariomycetes
Description: sequence contains ITS2
Source: RNAcentral